CCCUUAGAUGUUCUGGGCCGCACGCGCGCUACACUGACGGAGCCAACGAGUAUUUUCCUUGUCCGGAAGGACUGGGUAAUCUUGUGAAACUUUGUCGUGCUGGGGAUAGAGCAUUGUAAUUAUUGCUCUUCAACGAGGAAUUCCUAGUAAGCGUGAGUCAUCAGCUCGCGUUGAUUACGUCCCUGCCCUUUGUACACACCGCCCGUCGCUCCUACCGAUUGAAUGUUCCGGUGAGCUCUUCGGACUGCGCGGUCUGCAGUUUCUGCGUUCCGUGCGGAAAGUUGCGCAAACCUUAACAUUUAGAGGAAGGAGAAGUCGUAACA
Molecule: ribosomal RNA, 323 nt
Filed under: uncultured eukaryote
Lineage: Eukaryota
Description: partial 18S ribosomal RNA
Rfam family: Eukaryotic small subunit ribosomal RNA
Source: RNAcentral